RNAcentral lists this long non-coding RNA (3480 nucleotides) under Mus musculus (house mouse). RNAcentral describes it as "long non-coding RNA chr4:110694654-110698134". Lineage: Eukaryota; Metazoa; Chordata; Mammalia; Rodentia; Muridae. The record is from RNAcentral.
UAAAUGAGUUAAAUACCUAAUAAAAAAUGGAAAAAAAAAAAGGAUUAGAAAUGGCUCAAAGACAGCGUUGUUGACAAAGCCCACGUCAAUCUUCAUGGAUGAAAUCUCUUGGAAGCUGGAAUCCUGGAGCAUACUGCACAACCUGCAGGCAGCUCAACAGAUAGAAGAGUGACCUAUGUAUUUAGCUUGAUUGGUCUGAGUUUCAGCUUCUUGGGUGGUCUCUGCUUCAUCCAGAAAGCUCAGCUAGUUUCUGUUUCUUCCAGGUUACUUGACUGGUCCUCUGGUCCUCCUAGGAUGCUCCCCUAUUCAAAGCCUUUUUGAAAAGGCAGCUGGGCUUGUCUGAGUGUGUCUCCCAAGAGCCCUUCAUACUUAUUUAUUCUGGAGGGCAGGGAACCUCAGGAAUCUGGUCGGUUUCGAGGGCUUUCUGAAGACUGAGUUGUUUACUUCAUGAUAAAGAACUAAGCCAAACAGUUUGUAUUUAUACAUUUAUUAUAUAUAAUAUAUGUAGGUAAAAGUGAUUAAUUAAUAAAAGAAGAGGCCAUGGAUUUGAAAGAAAUGAGGGGACUAUAGGAGAGUUUGGAGUAAGGAAAGGGAAGAAGGAAAUGAUGUAAUUAUAUUAUAAUCUUAAAAUGGAGAAGAAAUAAUAUUAAAAAGAGAUAAAAGAAUAUUUACCUCCUGUACUGGCUAGUUUUGUGUCAACUUGACACAGCUGGAGUUAUCACAGAGAAAGGCGCUUCAGUUGAGGAAAUGCCUCCAUGAGAUCCAGCUGUAAGGCAUCUUCUCAAUUAGUGAUCAAGGGGGAAAGGCCCCUUGUGGGUGGGACCAUCUCUGGGCUGGUAGUCUUGGGUUUUAUAAGAGAGCAAGCUGAGCAAGCCAGAGUAAGUAAGCCAGUAAAGAACAUCCCUCCAUGGCUUCUGCAUCAGCUCCUGCUUCCUGAUCUGUUUGAGUUCCAAUCCUGACUUCCUUGGUGAUAAACAGCAGUAUGGAAAUGUAAACUGAAUAAACCCUUUCCUCCCCAACUUACUUCUUGGUCAUGAUGUUUGUGCAGGACUAAGACACCUCCUCUUAGAACAGUGGUUUUCAAUCCCUAGGCUGUUCCCCCUUUGAGGGUUGAAGGAUCCUUUCUCAGGUAUGUCACAUUAGACAUAUUUCAUAUCAGAUAUUUACAUUAAGAUUCAUAACAGUAUCAAGACUACAAUUAUUAAAUAGCAAUGUUAAUAAUUUUGUGUUUGGGGUCACCACAACCCGAGGAACUGUAUUAAAGGACUGAAGCAUUAGGAAGGUUAACAACCAGUGCUUAGAUCAUCCUGUCUUCAGGAGAUUCCUUGCAGUGUUGAGUGUUUUAUCUCCCUUUAGAACAUCCUGUGUCUGUGCGAUUGUCCCUCCAAGAUGGAUGAUUUAUUGUAUAGGAAAUUGCCAUACAACAACGUUGGAGCCUUAUGUACAGAAAACAGAAAAGAUAACUAAUGCUACAAAAGAUGUGAGUUAGCUAGAAGAUCCGUGCCCUUCUUUUGGUAACUCAUGGCCUCAGAGCAGGGACACUUGUAGAUUUAGAUACUGGAAUGCUUCUCAAUAUCUUAAUUAUCCUAUGUAAAAGUCCCAAGUAAAAGAUUCGUAAGUAAAAAUAGUAACAUAUAAUUAAACCUAGAGACAGAUUAUGGGACAAUUACUUAUUCUUCAAAUCUACUAUUAUCAUCAUAUUUCAAAUUCUAUUUCUUACCCAAAUACCUGCAUUAGGCUUCCUCCUUGGAUUUUUUUAUUUGUAGUUUUCUUUUCUUAUCAUUGUCUCAAUCUACUCUCCAAUUUGUUGGCAAAAUAGCCUUUCUAUAGAUCCAAUUAGAGCUUAUUCAUUUUCAGCCUUUGAAUAAGUCUUUGAAUUUUGUUUGCUUUGCAUUUUACUUUUGUCUAGCAAACUUGCUUCCCUCAUAAAACUCAAUUACUCUAGGGAUAUUUCUUGCUAACCUAAACCUUAAGCUUUUGCACUCCCACAGGUGUAUGUGCAUGUCCCUAGAUCCAGCUGUUCUACAUUUUAAUUGUUUCCUUAUCUAUACCCCUUUAGGUCAGUUAGCAAUUUGAAGGUCAUAUUUUUUAAUUAUCUAUUACCGAGCAUAUGACCUGAUAAUAGUAAAUGUUCCUUUGGAGUGAGUGAAUGGAUUAAUUAAACCUGAAUUAGGAAUGCUAGCAGACACUGUUGAUGGUUCUGUACAUAUGAGCACUGGCUACUCUUUCAGAGAACUGGUAUUGGUCCCCAGCACUCAUGUUAGAUUGCUCACAACUGACUAUAAUUUCAGUUCAAGGCUCAGUGUCCUCCUCUGGCUUCCACAGACACAUGCACAUACUUAUGAACACACACACACACACAUGGGGAGUGGGGGGCACACAUGCACGCAUACACAAUAAAAGUUAAAUUAACUUUUUAUAAAAGGAAGUGCUGGUACUUUAGAAGCAGGAUCAUAAAUUUAUAGGCACUCUUCUGGGAGAGUUGGGGAAUCCUAGCAAAUUUGUGUUGCUAAUUUCAUAGAGAUGAUAUAUUAGUUAGGUCCCUUUGCUUGUAAUUGACAAAAUUAAGCACAAUAUUACUUUUCCAAAAAUUAUGAAAUCCCAUAGAAAUUAAUUGCAAUGAAAAUUAGAUGAAAUCAUGAUUCAAAAGAAUGAUAAAGUAUUCAUGAAAAAAGAUAACAUGACUAAAUUCUUAGAAAAAUUCAAAAAUAAUACUAAUAUCUAAAUUUAAUAUGAAUUUUUCUUUUCAGCUGAAUAUUAUUCCACAUUGUAUGUACUCCACAUUAUCUUCCUUACCUGUUAACCAGGUGAAAGACAUUUAGGUUUUCUCAUCUAGUAGUUGUUGUGAGUAGAGCAGCAAAGAACAUGAACAUGAGUAUCUGUGUUUGGCAUGUUGAAUCUUUUGUUCAUAUACCAAGGUUGGGUCAUAUAUUAGACUUAUUUUAGCUAUCUGAUGAUUCUCCACAUUGUUUUCCAUAGUGGUUAGGCUAGUUUGCAACCCACCAAUAGUGAAAGAUGGUUCGUUUUCACUCUACUUCUUUUCCUGCCUUUCCAGUCAGUUGCUUUCUAUAGCAUAUAUAAAAGAAUAGCUCAAAGACAUGCAAAUGCUGAAAAAAAACAAAGUGAAUAUUUAAAACUUAAAAGUAAAGUAAGUAAAAUAAAACACAUAGAUAUGACACAAUAAGUAUUACUAAAAUGUUUAAAGGUUAAAUGAGUUCAGAAUAUAACAUCUGCUGUGUUUUUAAUAGACUAAUGGCUCCUAGAAUCCACUUGUCAGAGGCUUGUUUCCCUGGGAAGUACUAUUAGGAGAUGUCAUGAAUCUUUGUUGAAGGAUUGAAGGGAGGUUCUUCAGUCAUUGUGGGGAUGUCCUGAGACCUUCAAAACUUUCUGUCUUGAUCUGUUUCCUGCAUUAUGAAGUUAAUGAAGCAAAUAAGUUUCUGUUUUGUGCUCACACUAUGAUGUAUUUCCUUGCCUGUCAUC